This 466-nucleotide ribosomal RNA is filed under the name uncultured bacterium. RNAcentral's name for it is "partial 16S ribosomal RNA". It matches the Rfam family "Bacterial small subunit ribosomal RNA", at positions 28 to 507 of the family's 1533-position model. The record is from RNAcentral.
GAUGAACGCUGGCGGCGUGCUUAACACAUGCAAGUCGAACGGAAAGGCCCUUGCUUGCUGGGGUACUCGAGUGGCGAACGGGUGAGUAACACGUGGGUGAUCUGCCCUGCACUUCGGGAUAAGCCUGGGAAACUGGGUCUAAUACCGGAUAGGACCAUCGUUUAGUGUCGGUGGUGGAAAGUUUUUUCGGUGUGGGAUGAGCUCGCGGCCUAUCAGCUUGUUGGUGGGGUAAUGGCCUACCAAGGCGUCGACGGGUAGCCGGCCUGAGAGGGUGUACGGCCACAUUGGGACUGAGAUACGGCCCAGACUCCUACGGGAGGCAGCAGUGGGGAAUAUUGCACAAUGGGCGCAAGCCUGAUGCAGCGACGCCGCGUGGGGGAUGACGGCCUUCGGGUUGUAAACUCCUUUCGUCAGGGACGAAGCGAAAGUGACGGUACCUGGAUAAGAAGCACCGGCUAACUACGUG